This 265-nucleotide ribosomal RNA is filed under the name uncultured archaeon. RNAcentral describes it as "partial 16S ribosomal RNA". It matches the Rfam family "Archaeal small subunit ribosomal RNA", at positions 713 to 982 of the family's 1478-position model. The record is from RNAcentral.
AGGUCACUGACAUUAGAUACCCGCGUAGUCCUAGCUGUAAACGAUGCGGACUUGGUGUUGGGGUGGCUUUGAGCUGUCCCAGUGCCGAAGGGAAGCUGUUAAGUCCGCCGCCUGGGAAGUACGGUCGCAAGACUGAAACUUAAAGGAAUUGGCGGGGAGCACCACAACGCGUGGAGCCUGCGGUUUAAUUGGAUUCAACGCCGGACAUCUCACCAGAGGCGACAGCUGUAUGAUAGCCAGGUUGAUGACCUUGCUUGACAAGCUG